RNAcentral lists this ribosomal RNA (464 nucleotides) under uncultured bacterium. Its description in RNAcentral is "partial 16S ribosomal RNA". It matches the Rfam family "Bacterial small subunit ribosomal RNA", at positions 28 to 506 of the family's 1533-position model. The record is from RNAcentral.
GACGAACGCUGGCGGCGUGCUUAACACAUGCAAGUCGUACGGUAAGGCCCUUUCGGGGGUACACGAGUGGCGAACGGGUGAGUAACACGUGAGUAACCUGCCCACAACUUUGGGAUAACGCUAGGAAACUGGUGCUAAUACUGGAUAUGUGCUCCUGCUGCAUGGUGGGGGUUGGAAAGCUCCGGCGGUUGUGGAUGGACUCGCGGCCUAUCAGCUUGUUGGUGGGGUAGUGGCCUACCAAGGCGGCGACGGGUAGCCGGCCUGAGAGGGUGACCGGCCACAUUGGGACUGAGAUACGGCCCAGACUCCUACGGGAGGCAGCAGUGGGGAAUAUUGCACAAUGGGCGCAAGCCUGAUGCAGCAACGCCGCGUGCGGGAUGACGGCCUUCGGGUUGUAAACCGCUUUCAGCAGGGACGAAGCUUUUUGUGACGGUACCUGCAGAAGAAGCACCGGCUAACUACGU